AAAAAAAACAUUUUGACUGUCUGCAACUUUCACACAGGAUCAAAAUCAUCCUGAUUCCUCCACUUCCCAAACCAGCUCUGAACUCUCCUGAUGUCGAGGAUUGGUUUCAUUUCUCUAAAGGCCUUGUUAAAGAGAGGUUUAACACCAACUUCAAUGAGCGUGCCUGCACCGUGCGCGAGUACCAGCCGGUCUCUCGGUCCGACAGCAAUGGCUCUGACUGCUCUCGCCUCACCACCGCCACGGAUCAAACCGACUGCUCUAUCCCCAUCGCAGAGAACGAACCGGAGGACACGUCUGCUCCUUUUUACACCACCGUAAUUGCUUCGGAAGAUGAGCAGCAGGUUUCUGUGUAAAUGUCACCUCAGGCAAAUUUACAUGUCUCAAAGUGGAAAAAAAAAAAAUCCUUUUUACUUUGCGAAAGAUCUCCAGGAUUACUGGAGGAAUAUGUGUAGGAUGUCUUUUAGGAAAAUGGAUGGAGAUAAGAACAUUGAAAACGAUUAGAAAUCAAUAAAUGAAAUGGGAAUCAAAAUCCUAUACUCCUUGCUCAAUAUUUCAGGGAUUUGUUGCUCACCUUCAAUUCUAUUAACUUUGGUUUUUAUAAUUGAGUUUUUCAAUACUUUUUAUAUAUCAUAAAGUUAGCUAGACCACACUGUUAAGCGUAUUAUUGCUUAAUUUUCUGUCUUGCAUACAUAUUUUUUCCAUGCAGGGUAUAUCAAGUAUCUGAAUUUUCAACAUUUUUUGUUUUGAAAUACUUAAUAGUUAUUAACGUUGAUCUGUAUGCAGGACUUCAGUAGCUUUGUAUAAUCUUUUUACAUACAAGUGCUUUUAUAUAUUUUUAUCAAGUUACCUUUAUUGAUCUGUGGAUUUUAAAACCAUGUAAUUUUUUAGGAGUCCAUAGCUGACCUGCAGAUUUUACAGGUUUUAUAACAGAUAAAAAUGUCUGUAAUUGAUUAUUCACCAGUAUUAUUUUACAUAAAAGUUUGUAGCUGUUAGAAACUGACAGGCUUGCAGAUCUCAUACAUUCAUGCUAGGUGCCAUCAUUGUUAUACAAUUGAAACUGUAUUGCUAUCACUUCAAAUUUUAUUCCAGAGGUUUCUGUUUCAAUGUCAUGUAAUCUUUUGACUUGUAUGUUUAAUAUCAAGAGUAAAGUUUGGUUUUUGAUUAUGAUUAUUCUUCAUUCCCCUUUAUUGCAAGAUAACAAUAACGCCAUGUAUGGUCUAUAUUAAUGAUUGAAGCAGAAAGCGACAAUGGAGCUGUGUAAAUCAAGACAUAUUCAGGUCCAAGUACAGAUCUAAAUCUAUUUGAGAAUCUUUAGCAAUGCUAAAACAAAAACAAAGGUUUUGCAACAGUAUUCUUUUGGAAAGAUUUUGACAUUAUUUGCUUUUACCCAUCGUUACCUGCUUCUUGUCUAAAUCCUUGGUAAUGACAAAGUUUUCUACAGUCUAUUGAUCAGGACUAAUUGGCACUAAAUUGUAACAGGUUAGUUUUCUAACCAUAUAGAUUUUAAAUGUUUUCUUAGUUUUCUAUGCUUUUUUGCACCUCUUUUUCUUCGUGUGACUAAUGCUUAUUCCCUGUUAUUUUCUUUGAUUUCUUCGCAUGUAUAUUAGGUAAUCAUUUUGGAAAAGUUUUACUAAGAAAUUUGUCAAAUUCUUAUUUCACAAGUUGAACAAUUGUCCAUGUCAAUCCAAUGUUCCAGUGUACAGAUAACCAAACACCUCUUCUGUAUUAGUCACAGCAUUAUUCUAAACUUGGUGUAAUUCAUCACAUAAAACAUACAAAAUAAAAAGUACAUGUCUACAGU
This is a long non-coding RNA of Poecilia latipinna (sailfin molly), 1801 nucleotides long. RefSeq lists it as uncharacterized. Lineage: Eukaryota; Metazoa; Chordata; Actinopteri; Cyprinodontiformes; Poeciliidae. The transcript has 2 exons. The record is from RefSeq and is a predicted model, not a curated record.